Molecule: long non-coding RNA, 2699 nt
Filed under: Eucalyptus grandis
Lineage: Eukaryota; Viridiplantae; Streptophyta; Magnoliopsida; Myrtales; Myrtaceae
Description: long non-coding RNA (EGRA_LNC006658)
Source: RNAcentral
UUUUCUUCUUGGCCAUUUCCAUCGAAGGCGGCUGCUCACCCCUGAAUCAACGCCACCGAAAUUCUUCCCCCACUCACACACGCCCACACCCUCUUUGAACUUUCCUUUGUCGGCCACCGAGUCAACCAACAAUUGAGUUUACCCCAGCAAACUUGACUCCUCCAGCUACUGUUCGUCCAUGCUUCUCUCAUGGACACGCCAGCAACACCACCGAAGACCCUUGCCAGCGACGCCUGCCUCUCCACGCGUCUAAGCCUCCACCGCCGUUAGUCAAAGCCCCAACGGAGCUGCCCCCUUCGUUGACUCCUCCUGCCAGCUGCCGCGCGUGCCCCACAGCUCAGACGAAGCUGCUCCUUCGUCCUCAGCUUCUCCAGCAGCGAAGGCCCAGCGAAGCCAGCGUGGAUUUUUCCCUCAGCCGGCUGCUUCUUCGCGGGCUCUCUUCAUCAUUCGGUCCAAGUCUCCAGUAGCAGCAACCCACGUGUUUCUUCCUUCGGUCCAGCCCGACUUCCUGCCAGCCGUUGCCACAUUUUCCAGUCAACCUUGCUGCCCCUCGGGUGGGUUGUUGACCUUUAUUCCGCCAGCGUGCGACAGCUGCCGCUUCUCUCUCUCCGCUCAGCUCACGCCCCACGAAGCAGAACCCCACGCGUCCGAAGCUGUCCCAUCUUCGUUUCUCCCUUGCCGCACGACGCCAGCUCCUUUGAUUCUGCUUCAGUUGCAGCGUGCAACCCAGCGAAGGCCAGGCCCACGGAUCCUCUUCCAUUUCCCAUCGUAGCCCAUCUUGGGGCCUUUUUGGUGCAGCCCACCGAGCAGCCCAGCUUCCAGCUUGUAAUUUGCUCAGCCCAUCUCUCCAGCAGCUCCAUUGAGCCCAAGUCAGCAAGCCCAAACAAGAUGCAGUCCAGCCCAACGAAAAUCUUCAGUCCAGUCUAACUUUGAAGCCCAGCAAGUUGUCAAUUUCAGUAGCCCAGUUCAGCCCAGUCCAGCAACCGAGUGAUUUCGACUCUUGAAGCAGGCCCAAGCCCAAGUCUAAGCCCAGAAUUUUAUGUGGGCUUGCAAGGUUUCUUGGCCCGGUCCAAGUUCGUCGAAAGCCCGAUUUCGGCUGCCGUUGCGUCGUCAUUGCAGUGUUCCGAUCUUUGCCUUGUACAGUGAGUUUUACUCAUUGAUGCAUUCUUAGUUUGGUAAUUAUGCCUAAGGGUUGAUUAGAUUUAAUUAUUUGCAAUUAUGUGAAUAUAUUAGAUUAAAGUAAUUAAAUUAAAGACUCAUUGAUGCAUGUUAAUUAAAUUGAUUGUGCAUUUAGCUAGUAAACAUGUCAUAUUAUUUAUUGGAUGCUUCUUGGGAUUUUUCCCGUCCCUUAUCGGGUGUUAAUUAAGUAAUUCGGGCCUAAAAUGAAUUAUUAGUAAUUAAAUAUUAAUUUUCGAAUUUAAUUAUUUAAUUAUUUAUUUUCCGGAAAUUCAACCGAGAUGGCCGGUGAUCGGAAUUUUGUGCUGAUUGUCGUGGUGCAGUCCAUUUAUUUAUUUGAGCUCUACAUUGCGUGGAAUUGAUUUGAUUGUGCAAUUUUAGUGAUUUAUCCCAAAUUGAAUGAAAUUGAAUGAUUAAUUGGUUGAUGGCCGAGUGUUAUUAUUUAGCAUCGAUAAUUUUGUAAUGAACUGUAAAGCAGAGGGAACUGUGAAAGUGAAUUGGGGAAAUUCUCGGCUGAAACCAAUCAGCAACGAUGUAAUGAGACAUAUGUGAUUCAGUGAUUAAAGGAUAUCACUGGUGAAAAUGGCGCCUUAAAGAACGCACGAGUGUUGUCUAUUACAUGCAGCAGUAUGGACAUACGUGGUUCGUUGAUGGAGGAUAUCACUGGUGAAAACGGUGUCUUAAAGAACGCACGAGUGCUGUCCAUUAUACACGUCACCUUGGCGGAAGCAACGCCCGAGAGCAUUAAUGAGGCUCUGUGACUAAGUGUACUGCUGGAGGUUAUCGUGAUCGGUAAUUGGUACGUCACCUUGGCGAAAAAGACGCCCGAGAGCAUUCAUCUGGCUCUGUGACUGAGUACCCGAAUGGAGAUUAUAAAGUAUGGUGUUGAUGUGAUCAAGAGGUGGUCCGAAUGACAUGUAAUCGACUAUGUCGAUUGAUCAUUGUUUUGAUCUGAUGUUGUGAAUUGGUUGAUUGAAUGGAAAUGACCGUGACUGGUCUUGUUGGCGUGUGAUCGACUAGAUCGAUUUGAUCGAUACUUCGAUUUGUGAUGUGAUUGCUUGGGUGCCUAUUUGAUCUGUGCUAAUAUGCAGGUGGAAUCUGAGGUCAAGGUAAGUCCUCUGACUCACGUUGUGCAUAGGCAGCCAUAAGGUGUAUUAGUUUACUAAUCGGGUCUUAGGGGGUAGAACUUGCUGAGACGUAAUCUCAUUCCGAUUUGGGGAAAACAUUUCAGGACCCUGAUGAAGAACCUGAGGAGAAAGAACUCGAAGAGGAGUAUCUGAAGGAGAACCCCGAGGAUGAUCCAGAGUAGGAUCCUGAUGACUGUUGCUGUAGAAUCUAAUUGAGUAGAAACCAACCUUUUUAGCAUGGUUUGUAUAUGUACAUGUAUGACUGAGUCAUUAUAGAUGUACAUAAAAGUGUUGACUUUCAGGUUCAAUUUUCUAGUCCUACUUAUCUAUCACAUUGUUUUAUUGUCUGAAGAUUUAUAACUGCUUCCGCAUGUGUAUAUAUAAAUGAAAGGGUCG